Molecule: ribosomal RNA, 875 nt
Filed under: uncultured marine bacterium
Lineage: Bacteria
Description: bacterial SSU rRNA
Rfam family: Bacterial small subunit ribosomal RNA
Source: RNAcentral
AGUGAACGCUGGCGGCAUGGUUAAGACAUGCAAGUCGAACGAAAAGCAAAUCUUCGGAUUUGUGGAAAGUGGCGAACGGGUGCGUAACACGUGAGCAACCUGCCCUAAAGUGCGGAACAGCCUGUCGAAAGAUGGAUUAAUGCCGCAUGUGGCUCUUCUUCGCAUGAAGAAGUAGCUAAAGCUUGUAAUGGCGCUUUAGGAUGGGCUCGCGGCCUACCAGCUUGUUGGUAAGGUAACGGCUUACCAAGGCUAAGACGGGUAGCUGGUCUGAGAGGAUGAUCAGCCACACCGGGACUGAGACACGGCCCGGACACCUACGGGUGGCAGCAGUUUCGAAUCAUUCACAAUGGGCGAAAGCCUGAUGAUGCAAUGCCGCGUGGAGGAUGAAGGCCUUAGGGUCGUAAACUCCUGUCAUUGGGGAGCAACAAAUAGGUUCAUAGCCUAUCAUGAGUUAACCCAAAGAGGAAGAGGUGGCUAACUCCGUGCCAGCAGCCGCGGUAAUACGGAGACCUCGAGCGUUACUCGGAUUCACUGGGCGUAAAGGGUGAGUAGGUGGCCAAGUAUGUCAGGUGUGAAAUCCCGGGGCUUAACCCCGGAACUGCGCCUGAAACUACUUGGCUAGAGUCUCGGAGAGGAUAGUGGAAUUCCAAGUGUAGCGGUGAAAUGCGUAGAUAUUUGGAGGAACACCAGUGGCGAAGGCGACUAUCUGGACGAGUACUGACGCUCAAUCACGAAAGCGUGGGUAGCGAAAGGGAUUAGAUACCCCUGUAGUCCACGCCGUAAACGUUGCACACUAAGUUUCGGAGGAUUCGACCCCUUCGGAGCUCAAGCUAACGCGUUAAGUGUGCCGCCUGGGGAGUACGGCCGCAAGGCUA